RNAcentral lists this transfer RNA (70 nucleotides) under Dipodomys ordii (Ord's kangaroo rat). It matches the Rfam family "tRNA". From Rfam's summary of the family: Transfer RNA (tRNA) molecules are approximately 80 nucleotides in length. Their secondary structure includes four short double-helical elements and three loops (D, anti-codon, and T loops). Further hydrogen bonds mediate the characteristic L-shaped molecular structure. tRNAs have two regions of fundamental functional importance: the anti-codon, which is responsible for specific mRNA codon recognition, and the 3' end, to which the tRNAs corresponding amino acid is attached (by aminoacyl-tRNA synthetases). tRNAs cope with the degeneracy of the genetic code in two manners: having more than one tRNA (with a specific anti-codon) for a particular amino acid; and 'wobble' base-pairing, i.e. permitting non-standard base-pairing at the 3rd anti-codon position. The record is from Rfam by way of RNAcentral. Lineage: Eukaryota; Metazoa; Chordata; Mammalia; Rodentia; Heteromyidae.
GGGAAUGUGGCUUAGUAGUAGAGCGCUUUCCUAGGCUGCAUGAAGCCCUGGGUUUGAUUCCUCAUUCCCA